This 490-nucleotide ribosomal RNA is filed under the name uncultured bacterium. RNAcentral's name for it is "partial 16S ribosomal RNA". It matches the Rfam family "Bacterial small subunit ribosomal RNA", at positions 30 to 507 of the family's 1533-position model. The record is from RNAcentral.
AUUGAACGCUGGCGGCAGGCCUAACACAUGCAAGUCGAACGGUAACAGGAAGCAGCUUGCUGCUUUGCUGACGAGUGGCGGACGGGUGAGUCAUGUCUGGGAAACUGCCUGAUGGAGGGGGAUAACUACUGGAAACGGUAGCUAAUACCGCAUAACGUCGCAAGACCAAAGAGGGGGACCUUAGGGCCUCUUGCCAUCGGAUGUGCCCGGAUGGGAUUAGCUAGUAGGUGGGGUAACGGCUCACCUAGGCGACGAUCCCUAGCUGGUCUGAGAGGAUGACCAGCCACACUGGAACUGAGACACGGUCCAGACUCCUACGGGAGGCAGCAGUGGGGAAUAUUGCACAAUGGGCGCAAGCCUGAUGCAGCCAUGCCGCGUGUAUGAAGAAGGCCUUCGGGUUGUAAAGUACUUUCAGCGGGGAGGAAGGGAGUAAAGUUAAUACCUUUGCUCAUUGACGUUACCCGCAGAAGAAGCACCGGCUAACUACGUG